CCCUUAGAUGUUCUGGGCCGCACGCGCGCUACACUGAUACGUUCAACGAGUUUACAACCUUGAUCGAAGGGUCUGGGUAAUCUUUUGAAUGCGUAUCGUGCUAGGGAUAGACUAUUGCAAUUAUUAGUCUUGAACGAGGAAUUCCUAGUAAACGCAAGUCAUCAGCUUGCAUUGAUUACGUCCCUGCCCUUUGUACACACCGCCCGUCGCUACUACCGAUUGAACGGUUUAGUGAGGGCCUCGGAUUGGUCUCGGCCCGCUCUUUACCGGGCGGCGCCGUUGGUCGAGAAGACGCUCGAACUUGAUCGUUUAGAGGAAGUAAAAGUCGUAACA
RNAcentral lists this ribosomal RNA (333 nucleotides) under uncultured eukaryote. Its description in RNAcentral is "partial 18S ribosomal RNA". It matches the Rfam family "Eukaryotic small subunit ribosomal RNA", at positions 1470 to 1796 of the family's 1831-position model. The record is from RNAcentral.